UACGAAGGGGGCUAGCGUUGCUCGGAUUGACUGGGCGUAAAGGGCGCGUAGGCGGUUUGUACAGUCAGACGUGAAAUUCCUGGGCUCAACCUGGGGGCUGCGUUUGAUACGUGCGAGCUUGAGUUCGGGAGAGGGUCGUGGAAUUCCCAGUGUAGAGGUGAAAUUCGUAGAUAUUGGGAAGAACACCGGUGGCGAAGGCGGCCACCUGGCCCGAUACUGACGCUGAGGCGCGAAAGCGUGGGGAGCAAACAGG
RNAcentral lists this ribosomal RNA (253 nucleotides) under uncultured bacterium. RNAcentral's name for it is "partial 16S ribosomal RNA". It matches the Rfam family "Bacterial small subunit ribosomal RNA", at positions 524 to 776 of the family's 1533-position model. The record is from RNAcentral.